GUGAAGCGCUAAUACGGGUCGCGGCCCCAGUGCGGAUCGGGCAGGCCCUAGCGGCGCACAGUGUCCCUCCCGCCGCUCCGUACCUCGGGCCGCGCGCUUGCCUACACACGCCUCAGCUGUUUCCGGUUGCCAGGUGUUUCCUUCAGAAAACUGACGCGUAUAAACAUAGAGGGGCGAAUCCCCCUUUGCUCCUGGCUCGAACCACACGGCUGUACGUGAAAAGGAAGGAGAUUUCUUUUUGGAACACGGAUUAGACAGAGCACAGGAAGCGGCUGGACGCCGUACAUGAUUUUCCACGUAAGCAGAUCGGGUGUGUGAGACGCCCAAGGCGGUGGGUCUCCCGGGGUCCCCCGCGUUACCUUCACCUUGUCACUUUGUCGUGUCAGUUCUUAACGCCCGGCGCGUAUGCCAUUUUGUAACGUUUCUACUUUGCCUACGUUACAGUGAACGUGCUGAACAGACUGUGUGUGUGAUGUAGCCGGUAGUCGCUCCGAGUCCGUGCGGCGGUCACAGUGACUCCGUCCUCGCGUUUCCGUCCGUUAAAUGGGAGGUGGGCGGAAGGGGAAGGAGAGCGCGAGACGGCGGAGCGGAGCGGCUCUUCCCCAGUUGAGCGCCUACCGGACUCAGCGGCGCGCGGGGUGGCGCCGGCGGGGAGCUCGCGCCGGUGAACAGGGGAGAGGAGCGCGAGGACACGAGUAACUCCCACAACAGCAGGAGACAUUAAGUUUCGCAGAGAUCCGCCGCCCAGAGACUGUGACGAAGUUUCAUGUGAAAGAAAGAGCGAUUUGCGGAGCUGCGCCUUCGCUUCGGGAUUCUAGGACGCAGUGAGUGUUUCAGGUAGCGAAUAAUUUGAAUUUCUUCGUCAUUUUUGCUUUGGAAACGGAUGUUAACUGUACGAAGGCGCCGCAAGUUCCAGAAAACCGGGAUUUCCACACAUAAACUCGUGUGUUAAAAAAAGGACAAGAACAAGUUUUUUUGUUUCCAGACUCAUGAAAUCUGAUUUUCCUCGCAGGAUUGGGAUCUAAAAACAGGAAGAUAAACGCCUCCAAGGAAGGAGUCCAAGGAGCCCGAAGUCUGCUUCUUCAAGUUCUUCUUUCCCAAUCCAGUUACUUCGAUUCUUUUCCCUGUUCCUAAGUGGACUGACAUGUUGCCACAUGUUGGCUUUUUGAUUCAUAGUGACACACGUUAAAAGUGAGGAUUUGUGUGUCACUCGUUUCACUUUCUGUAACCUGGUUAUUGCAGUGCUGUGGUUCCAGCCUCUCUCUUCCUGCAAGUUUUCCAAAUGAACACAUCCAUUAAUAUCCGAACCGCCUUUCACCAGGUUUCUUCCUCCCGGUAACACUCCUCCAUAGAUGUUUUUGCGGUUUUUCAACGCUUCGCUCCUUAGAUGUCGCUUAUCCUUGGUACUUUUGAGAUCUGCGGAAACAUACUCCUGGAAAACGGUGUGCCAAAAAUAUGUUGCCAUUCCUUGUGCGCUUCUGAAAUAUUGGAAUUGUCUAUUCUGGGCAUUUUUCUAAUUUAUGUUUUGUAGAAUCAUUACUUCUUGAAAGUUGGGGAGGCACAAAACACAUUUUUUUCUGAAUUUCUAUGAAAUAACACUUUGAGAUUACAAUUAGAAAGAGAGCCAACAAAUAAGUCUCGUCUUAUGGCGGCUGCCGUGGGCCGACUCUGGGGCUGGGUUCGCCCAGCCCUGUCUUAUCGUCCUUGGGGAGGCAAGACCGAGAAGGAUGAGGAACAGAUGGGAUCUGGCUGGACUGGCAUGACCACCUGGUUUUGGCCAGGUGGGAAAAAACAAAGUGACCAAGAGGAGUUUACCAAACAGCAGUGGGAGAUGAGUGAAAGAGCCCAGCCCAUGGAAGUGGAAGAGUUUCGGGCUGGGAGGUUGGAGAUGGAGACUCCUGUGCAGACCGCUCCUCGGUGGUGGAGGAGGAUGUUGCCAUCAUCUUACUUUUCCUGGCCAAGAAGGGCUGAACACGGAGCUGUAAAGGCUCAAAGGUGUGUAGGCCAAAAGGAGAAGGAAUGGGACUGUGAUCAAGAUGGAGGCGAGUCAGACUAUGGAACCCCUCCUCCGUCUCCCACCCCUCGUUUGCACUAUGCUUCCCCGUUCCGUUUUUUCAUGCAUUCCUGGACGGGUGAGGUCCUGCCGGAGCACUACGAGAUCUGCUUCAACUUCCUGCGACACCUUUUCGACCUAUUCGUUGUUGGCUUCCUGUGGACAGUCUCCCCUCCGGUCAGGGUGGUGCUGGACAUCCUGGGGGUCCAGGGUACACUGAAACUGUGGAUUCACGGGAUGGCCAUGUUUUUUGUAUCCACAGUGGGGAUGGCAGGCCUCCUGUGGCUGAUCCAGGAAUACCUCCCGCAGUUUGCUCUAGUGUACGGCAUCCUGCAGGUACUUGUGAUCUCCGUCAGUUUACACCAAAGCGUGGUGUUGGGGGAGGCAGGUGAGGCCAAGAGAGAGGAGGAAGCGGAGAAGAGGCAGGAACAGGAGAUGCAGGGAGAGACUGACCUACCGAAGGAGGGCCAUGACAAAGGAAAGACUGUGCAGUGAUAAAAUACUGCGAUAUGUUGUGAUACAAGACUAAACACUUUUUGGCAGAUGGUUGAGAUAAGUAGUUGAGGUCCCAGUGGUUUAUUCAGCUGAACUGAAGACCUACCAUCCUCUGAGACAAUAAGGAGUAAAUAGUCAAGUGAGCUUUUGGAGUAAAGCACACAGGUUAUGCUUUUGUAUUUAUUCCUAGGAUAUGGACAAAUCCUAGCUUGUUUUACUACAAUAAAACCUUUCAGUAGCAUGGAAGAACUGUAACACUGUAAAAAUUGUGUAGCUGUUGUGGUAAGUGCAGAAGGACUCGAUUCCUGACAUAUCAGCACUCCCAACACGACUUUCCCUCACUGCCACAGAAGGCUUUGACCCCAUGCAGGGCUGGGGGUCAAAGUGAAGGAUGAUCACUACAAAUUUUGCUAAUCUUAUUGCACAAAACACAUACCUAAUAAACCCAUGUGGAAAUAACUCUGUGCUCUAUCCAUGCCAAGCCUUUCCAGUUUCUCUACAGAUUUUCCCUUGAAAACUUGUCGGUGCAAUUUUCUGGAUUUUCUGAAAAUGCCUUGUUUUCCAUGAGAAUUUUUCAUGCAUCGCAGUGUCAAUGUAGACAUCUUGGAGCCAAAAGGUUUCGCCUGCGGUCAGACGACACGAAAGCAUGCAAGUCAGGUGAAUUCAGCUGACUAUGCCUAAAACCUUGCUUAUGGUUGAGCUCGAGGGUGUUGAACAUGUUUUAAAUCACCUCUUAGCAUCACAGUUAAAACGGCACAUUCUUCAUAUUAAUUGCAGUGCUAAAGAUGAAUCUUAACCUAGUUACUGAAAAGCAAAUUGUGGCCAUUUUUAAUAGUUGAUAUCAUAAUAUUUCCAUUUCUUCUGGAUAUCUAUAUGAGAAAAUAAAUUUUAUGUGUCUUUUAAGAAAGUGUGGUUAGGUUCAAAGUUAACAGCUGCGGUCAACAGAUGUGUGAAUUGAAGUUUCUACCAUGUUUAGCAUUUAAUAGAUUGCAAUAUAGUAUCUAUUUGUUCUUUCUCACUUUAUGUGCAGAAGAACCCUUUUGUAUUCCUUAACUCAAAAACUGUUGAAUAUUCCAUUAGUUUCAUUUGUGCUCGUUUGAGAACCACUUUCAUUUUAGGAUGAACAUGGUUUGGUUGACUUUUCACAUGUUGUGAUAUUAUUCCCAGUUUUGUUUGAGCACCUGUGUGAAAUUGAACAGGAUUCACAUGUUCACAUUGUAUGUAUUUGUAUGUUUGCUAUGGUGGGAGUUUGUUGCAUGUCUAGAUCCCCGUUGUCAAAGUAUGUGGAAAUUUAUGCUGUCCUGUUGGCUGAGGGACAUAAAAUGUUUUCCUCUAAUACACCAUAAAAUAUAUUAUAUGAAAAGCUGGACUGACUGUCAAGAUGUAUCAUUUUUGUGAGA
Molecule: RNA transcript, 3948 nt
Organism: Scleropages formosus (Asian bonytongue)
Lineage: Eukaryota; Metazoa; Chordata; Actinopteri; Osteoglossiformes; Osteoglossidae
Gene: c23h6orf47
Gene name: chromosome 23 C6orf47 homolog
Exons: 3
Source: RefSeq, a predicted model, not a curated record